RNAcentral lists this ribosomal RNA (329 nucleotides) under uncultured Rhizophagus. RNAcentral describes it as "partial large subunit ribosomal RNA". Lineage: Eukaryota; Fungi; Glomeromycota; Glomeromycetes; Glomerales; Glomeraceae. The record is from RNAcentral.
CCAGUCGUACCGGCGGGUAAUCAGCCUUUCGGGUAUGAUUCUGUGGAGCGUGAGGAGUUAAACGCCUUCAUGCCUGCAUAUUCGUGCUCUUGGGUGUACUUGCUCGUGUGGUUGGUUAACAUCAAUUUUGGUUAUCAUAAAAUGGCUGGAGGAAUGUAGCUUCGAUUUCGAUCGAAGUGUUAUAGCCUUUGGCAGAUGUGAUGACCGGGAUUGAGGAUUGCAACGAAUACCCUUCGGGGCUACCUGUCUGAUCUCUGAUCGUUGCUCUGGUGCCGAAAGCUUGCUUACGGUUAUCAAAGUCGAUGGUCAACAGGUUAGAACGGGUUAAA